RNAcentral lists this ribosomal RNA (497 nucleotides) under uncultured bacterium. RNAcentral's name for it is "partial 16S ribosomal RNA". It matches the Rfam family "Bacterial small subunit ribosomal RNA", at positions 28 to 507 of the family's 1533-position model. The record is from RNAcentral.
GACGAACGCUGGCGGCGUGCCUAAUACAUGCAAGUAGAACGCUGAAGUGAGGUGCUUGCUCUUCUUGGAUGAGUUUCGAACGGGUGAGUAACGCGUAGGUAACCUGCCUGGUAGCGGGGGAUAACUAUUGGAAACGAUAGCUAAUACCGCAUAAAAUGGAUUAUCUCAUGAUAAUCCAUUGAAAGGUGCAAUUGCAUCACUACCAGAUGGACCUGCGUUGUAUUAGCUAGUUGGUGGGGUAACGGCUCACCAAGGCGACGAUACAUAGCCGACCUGAGAGGGUGAUCGGCCACACUGGGACUGAGACACGGCCCAGACUCCUACGGGAGGCAGCAGGAGGGAAUAUUCGGCAAUGGACGGAAGUCUGACCGAGCAACGCCGCGUGAGUGAAGAAGGUUUUCGGAUCGUAAAGAUCUGUUGUAAGAGAAGAACGAGGGUGAGAGUGGAAAGUUCACACUGUGACGGUAUCGUACCAGAAAGGGACGGCUAACUACGUG